CAGUCGCCGCGGGAAUACAGAGGAUCCAAGCGUUAUCCGGAAUCAUUGGGUUUAAAGGGUCCGUAGGCGGUCUUGUAAGUCAGUGGUGAAAGCCCAUCGCUCAACGGUGGAACGGCCAUUGAUACUGCAGGACUUGAAUUAUUGGGAAGUAACUAGAAUAUGUAGUGUAGCGGUGAAAUGCUUAGAGAUUACAUGGAAUACCAAUUGCGAAGGCAGGUUACUACCAAUUGAUUGACGCUGAUGGACGAAAGCGUGGGUAGCGAACAGGAUUAGAUACCCCAGUAGUCCCUGUCUCUUAUAC
This 301-nucleotide ribosomal RNA is filed under the name uncultured bacterium. RNAcentral describes it as "partial 16S ribosomal RNA". It matches the Rfam family "Bacterial small subunit ribosomal RNA", at positions 509 to 807 of the family's 1533-position model. The record is from RNAcentral.